AGCUCGUUGGUCUAGGGGUAUGAUUUUUGCUUAGGGUGCGAAAGGUCUCGGGUUCAAAUCCCGGACGAGCCC
RNAcentral lists this transfer RNA (72 nucleotides) under Danionella translucida. It matches the Rfam family "tRNA". From Rfam's summary of the family: Transfer RNA (tRNA) molecules are approximately 80 nucleotides in length. Their secondary structure includes four short double-helical elements and three loops (D, anti-codon, and T loops). RNAcentral also lists the same sequence under 1 other name. The record is from Rfam by way of RNAcentral. Lineage: Eukaryota; Metazoa; Chordata; Actinopteri; Cypriniformes; Danionidae.